Molecule: ribosomal RNA, 253 nt
Filed under: uncultured bacterium
Lineage: Bacteria
Description: partial 16S ribosomal RNA
Rfam family: Bacterial small subunit ribosomal RNA
Source: RNAcentral
UACGUAGGGGGCAAGCAUUGUCCGGAUUCAUUGGGCGUAAAGAGCGUGUAGGCGGCCAGGUAGGUCGGUUGUGAAAACUGGAGGCUCAACCUUCAGACGUCGACCGAAACCAUCUGGCUAGAGUCCGGGAGAGGAUAGUGGAAUUCCUGGUGUAGCGGUGAAAUGCGCAGAUAUCAGGAAGAACACCCGUGGCGAAAGCGGCUCUCUGGAACGGUACUGACGCUGAGACGCGAAAGCGUGGGGAGCGAACAGG